Molecule: ribosomal RNA, 277 nt
Filed under: uncultured archaeon
Lineage: Archaea
Description: partial 16S ribosomal RNA
Rfam family: Archaeal small subunit ribosomal RNA
Source: RNAcentral
GCCCUACGGGGCGCAGCAGGCGCGAAAACUUUACAAUGCGGGAAACCGUGAUAAGGGAAUCUCGAGUGCCAGCAUAUAAUGUUGGCUGUCCAGAUGCCUAAAAAGCAUCUGUUAGCAAGGGCCGGGCAAGACCGGUGCCAGCCGCCGCGGUAACACCGGCGGCCCGAGUGGUAACCGCUUUUAUUGGGUCUAAAGGGUCUGUAGCCGGCCAAGUAAGUCCCUUGGGAAAUCUGGCAGCUUAACUGUCAGGCUGCUAGGGGAUACUGCUAGGCUUGGA